RNAcentral lists this ribosomal RNA (268 nucleotides) under uncultured Sphingomonas sp. RNAcentral describes it as "partial 16S ribosomal RNA". It matches the Rfam family "Bacterial small subunit ribosomal RNA", at positions 107 to 392 of the family's 1533-position model. Lineage: Bacteria; Pseudomonadati; Pseudomonadota; Alphaproteobacteria; Sphingomonadales; Sphingomonadaceae. The record is from RNAcentral.
UGCGUAACGCGUGGGAAUCUGCCCUUGGGUUCGGAAUAACAGUUAGAAAUGACUGCUAAUACCGGAUGAUGUCUUCGGACCAAAGAUUUAUCGCCCAAGGAUGAGCCCGCGUAGGAUUAGGUAGUUGGUGGGGUAAUGGCCCACCAAGCCGACGAUCCUUAGCUGGUCUGAGAGGAUGAUCAGCCACACUGGGACUGAGACACGGCCCAGACUCCUACGGGAGGCAGCAGUGGGGAAUAUUGGACAAUGGCGCAAGCCUGAUCCAGCA